AGCGAACGCUGGCGGAAUGCUUAACACAUGCAAGUCGCACGGCCGGCAACGGCAGUGGCGGACGGGUGAGUAACGCGUAGGAACGUGUCCUGUUGUGGGGGAUAACCCUGGGAAACUGGGGCUAAUACCGCAUGUGUCCUGAGGGACAAAGCCGCGAGGCGCGAUGGGAGCGGCCUGCGUCCGAUUAGCUUGUUGGUGGGGUAAAGGCCUACCAAGGCGAUGAUCGGUAGCUGGUCUGAGAGGACGAUCAGCCACACUGGGACUGAGACACGGCCCAGACUCCUACGGGAGGCAGCAGUGGGGAAUAUUGGACAAUGGGCGCAAGCCUGAUCCAGCCAUGCCGCGUGAGUGAUGAAGGCCUUAGGGUUGUAAAGCUCUUUUAUCCGGGACGAUAAUGACGGUACCGGAGGAAUAAGCCCCGGCUAACUUCGUGCCAGCCGCCGCCGUAA
RNAcentral lists this ribosomal RNA (449 nucleotides) under uncultured bacterium. RNAcentral's name for it is "partial 16S ribosomal RNA". It matches the Rfam family "Bacterial small subunit ribosomal RNA", at positions 28 to 523 of the family's 1533-position model. The record is from RNAcentral.